UUUAUUCUUGCUUGGAUUUAUGUUUGUUAAAAUUUUAAUAUAUAUGUAAAUUAUUGUGUAAUAUUAUCUUGAUGAUAAAAUGGUAGCAGUGUAUAAAUUUGAAUCUGAGAGAGUACUUGAUUCAGUAAUGAGUUAUAAUAUUGAUAUAAUAUGUGCCAGCAAUCGCGGUUAAACAUAUAAUAUGAAUGAAUAUUUUUAGUUAAAACAAUUUUUGUUAAUAGUGAAUUAUGAAAUUGGUAAUUUGGUGGUGGAAUUAGGAAAUUGUUGAUAUUUAAAUAUUAGUGUAGAUGGAAUUAUUGUGAAAUUUUUUUAUAAACUAGGAUUAGAUACCCUAUUAUUUUGAAUAUAAAUUAGUUAAACUUAAGUAGUACCAGUAUAGUCUUGAAACUUAAAGAAUUUGGCGGUAUUUUAGUCUGUUUAGAGGAGUUUGUUCUAUUAUCGAUAACCCGCGUUGUAACUUACUUAUUUUAAUUAGUUUGUAUAUCGCUGUUGUUGAAGAUCUUUUUAGAGUUGAAAUUUUCUUGAUAUAAAAUUAUUUAGGAUUUCAGGUCAAGGUGCAGUUUAUAAAUAAGUAGAAAUGAGCUACAAUAAUGGUAAAUUAGACGGAAUUUGAAGUGUAAGGUGAUUAUGAAGGUGGAUUUAAUAGUAAUUUUGAAUAGAAGGUAAAUAUGAAAGUAGCUCUAAGAUAUGUACAUAUUGCCCGUCACUCUCGUUAAUAAGGUGAGAUAAGUCGUAACAUAGUAGGUGUACCGGAAGGUGUAGCUAGUAAGGG
Molecule: non-coding RNA, 772 nt
Filed under: Amazonina sp. Z256E
Lineage: Eukaryota; Metazoa; Arthropoda; Insecta; Blattodea; Pseudophyllodromiidae
Source: RNAcentral